CCCUUAGAUGUUCUGGGCCGCACGCGCGCUACACUGAUUCAUGCAACAAGUUUUGUCCUUGGCUGAUAGGCCUGGGUAAUCUUUGAACGUGAAUCGUGAUGGGGAUAGAUGAUUGCAAUUAUUCAUCUUCAACGAGGAAUUCCUAGUAAACGCAAGUCAUCAGCUUGCAUUGAUUACGUCCCUGCCCUUUGUACACACCGCCCGUCGCACCUACCGAUCGAAUGGUCCGGUGAAAUCUUCGGAUCUGAGAGAUGUCUGAUUAAUUUCGGACGCCUUUUGGAAAAGUUGCUUAAACCUUACCAUUUAGAGGAAGGUGAAGUCGUAACA
Molecule: ribosomal RNA, 327 nt
Filed under: uncultured eukaryote
Lineage: Eukaryota
Description: partial 18S ribosomal RNA
Rfam family: Eukaryotic small subunit ribosomal RNA
Source: RNAcentral